Molecule: ribosomal RNA, 764 nt
Filed under: Acinetobacter radioresistens WC-A-157
Lineage: Bacteria; Pseudomonadati; Pseudomonadota; Gammaproteobacteria; Moraxellales; Moraxellaceae
Description: bacterial SSU rRNA
Rfam family: Bacterial small subunit ribosomal RNA
Source: RNAcentral
AUUGAACGCUGGCGGCAGGCUUAACACAUGCAAGUCGAGCGGAUGAAGGUAGCUUGCUACCGGAUUCAGCGGCGGACGGGUGAGUAAUGCUUAGGAAUCUGCCUAUUAGUGGGGGACAACGUUCCGAAAGGAGCGCUAAUACCGCAUACGUCCUACGGGAGAAAGCAGGGGACCUUCGGGCCUUGCGCUAAUAGAUGAGCCUAAGUCGGAUUAGCUAGUUGGUAGGGUAAGGCCUACCAAGGCGACGAUCUGUAGCGGGUCUGAGAGGAUGAUCCGCCACACUGGGACUGAGACACGGCCCAGACUCCUACGGGAGGCAGCAGUGGGGAAUAUUGGACAAUGGGGGGAACCCUGAUCCAGCCAUGCCGCGUGUGUGAAGAAGGCCUUUUGGUUGUAAAGCACUUUAAGCGAGGAGGAGGCUACCUAGAUUAAUACUUUAGGAUAGUGGACGUUACUCGCAGAAUAAGCACCGGCUAACUCUGUGCCAGCAGCCGCGGUAAUACAGAGGGUGCGAGCGUUAAUCGGAUUCACUGGGCGUAAAGCGUGCGUAGGCGGCCAAUUAAGUCAAAUGUGAAAUCCCCGAGCUUAACUUGGGAAUUGCAUUCGAUACUGGUUGGCUAGAGUAUGGGAGGGGAUGGGUAGAAUUCCAGGUGUAGCGGUGAAAUGCGUAGAGAUCUGGAGGAAUACCGAUGGCGAAAGCAGCCAUCUGGCCUAAUACUGACGCUGAGUACGAAAGCAUGGGGAGCAAACAGGAUUAGAUACCC